GAUAAACGCUGGCGGCGUGCGUAACACAUGCAAGUCGAACGAGAUUGCACCGACGGAACCUUCGGGGGAAGAUGGUGCAUGAAAGUGGCGGAUGGGUGAGUAACGCGUAAGAAACCUGCCUUUCACACCGGGAUAGCAGCUGGAAACGGCUAUUAAUACCGGAUGAUACUUUUCUGACGCAUGUUAGGAAGGUCAAAGAAUUUCGGUGAAAGAUGGUCUUGCGUCUGAUUAGCUCGUUGGUGGGGUAACGGCCUACCAAGGCGACGAUCAGUAGCCGGCCUGAGAGGGUGUACGGCCACAUUGGGACUGAGACACGGCCCAAACUCCUACGGGAGGCAGCAGUGGGGAAUUUUGCACAAUGGAGGAAACUCUGAUGCAGCGACGCCGCGUGAACGAAGAAGGUUUUCGGAUCGUAAAGUUCUGUCCUGGGUGAAGAUAAUGACGGUAACUCAGGAGGAAGCCCCGGCUAACUACGUGCCAGCAGCCGCGGUAAUU
This 495-nucleotide ribosomal RNA is filed under the name uncultured bacterium. RNAcentral describes it as "bacterial SSU rRNA". It matches the Rfam family "Bacterial small subunit ribosomal RNA", at positions 28 to 525 of the family's 1533-position model. The record is from RNAcentral.